CAUUACCUAGAGUUGUGGGCUUUGCCUGCUAUCUCUUACCCAUGUCUUUUGAGUACUUACGUUUCCUCGGUGGGUUCGCCCGCCGAUUGGACAAUUUAAACCCUUUGCAGUUGCAAUCAGCGUCUGAAAAACAUAAUAGUUACAACUUUCAACAACGGAUCUCUUGGUUCUGGCAUCGAUGAAGAACGCAGCGAAAUGCGAUAAGUAGUGUGAAUUGCAGAAUUCAGUGAAUCAUCGAAUCUUUGAACGCACAUUGCGCCCCUUGGUAUUCCAUGGGGCAUGCCUGUUCGAGCGUCAUUUGUACCUUCAAGCUUUGCUUGGUGUUGGGUGUUUGUCUCGCCUUUGCGUGUAGACUCGCCUUAAAACAAUUGGCAGCCGGCGUAUUGAUUUCGGAGCGCAGUACAUCUCGCGCUUUGCACUCAUAACGACGACGUCCAAAAGUACUUUUUUACACUCUUGACCUCGGAUCAGGUAGGGAUACCCGCUGAACUUAAGCAUAUCAAUAA
Molecule: ribosomal RNA, 506 nt
Filed under: Ascomycota sp. PIMO_429
Lineage: Eukaryota; Fungi; Ascomycota
Description: eukaryotic LSU rRNA
Rfam family: 5.8S ribosomal RNA (bases 144-297)
Source: RNAcentral